AAACCCGUCACCCUCUCACCUCUUCCGCUUCUCCUUCAUCUUCUGCUUCUCAUUCUCAUUCUUUCAAUCUUUUUUCAAAUCUCGACAACAAUAAUAACAAAUUAUUUUUUCACUAUUAGGAUUUGUAUAUGGUGUUAAGAGUGCAAUUAGGGUUUGAUUUUGGUCUCCAUCUGUUAGGGUUUGUUGAUGACAAAAACAGUGAAGUUGAUGUUUGAAGGAAAUCAUAAGAAAAUUAGUUUGAUUUUGGUGGUAAAACUAAAAUCAAAUUCGGUUACAACAAACCAAAAUCAAGGUUAGGGUUUUAUACUAAACCUUAUGGUGGUGAAAUUGUUUAUAAUGGCGGUGAGGAAAACCAAAUUCGGGUUUGUUGAUAGUAAAAUUGAGAACAAUUUUAGGGGUUUAUGCUGAAUUUGAUGCAGCUGCAACUGAAUCUGAUUCUAGUGAAACUAAAUUUGAUACUGGUGAAGGAAGAAGAGGUGAGUUGGGUUUAAAUUAAACGUACCGGAGCUUUUGGAUUUUUGUGUAUUUAUUUUUCUUUUUUAUGAUUUGAUCAAAUGUCACGGAUUCUUGAGAAGUUAGGGUUUGCUGGUACUGUGAAUUGAAGAAUGAGGGCUAGUCUUGAAGAUUCAGAUGAGUUCAGAGAAGGGAAAUAGAUGGUGAUAUUGAUGUUAAUGGGUUUCUCUUGAAUCUGCUUGUGAUUAACGGUUAUGAAUGACGGAUCUGGUGGUUGAUGCUGGUGAUGUUUAAUUGAGGUGUUGGUGAAGCUGCAUAUGGGUGUUGUGUAGGUGCAAUUGCAGGAUUUGUUUGAGCCCAAGGAAGAAUUGGUAAGUGCAUAACAGAUGGUGUUGAGUAGGUGCAAUUGCAGGAUUUGUUUGAGCCCAAGGAAGAAGUUGUAAGUGCACAACAGAUGGUGUUGAGUAUGAUGUGUGAUGUUCAAGAUAAAAGAAGGUAAUGGAGAUGUUGUUGAAGAUGCAACAGAUUAGAUGUAUGCUUAGGAAUGGAUUGUGGGAGAUAAAUUGAGUAGAAAGCUAGAAUGGGAAUUGACUGAGAAGUGGGUUGGUGAUGGCCUAAUUAUGUGUUGCUACAGAUUUGAAUGGAGUUGGCUUUGCAGGAUUUGCAAGAGAGGUUUUGAGUUGUGAAUUAGAUGUAUGCUAGGUUGUGCAGGUGAGAAGAAAUACAGACCUGAAAAUGGUCGGAAUAGCACCAGAAGCAGACAAGACUCUGCCCGAUUCAUUCUUCAGUAAGUCGACUCAGUGACUCGCUGAACUCUAAGUCGGUGACUCAGCCGAAUCAGCCUUAUUCAGACCGACUCUGCUGUGGGUUUUUAAGACUUUUAUCAGGUGCCAGCUAGAACUUAACGACCCUAACAAACCGUUAGCCGUUUUUUGAAUAAAACAGUCAAAGAAGGGGCACUUUUGAAAAGUUCAAAAAAACGGAGGGCAAUUUUAUUAGUGUAUUUCAAAAUAGGGGCACUUUAUCAAAAAAAAAAAAAAAAAAUCUAUGCCUUCAUUCAGGUUCCCAUUCACAUCUCUUCAGGUUCCCGAGUAACCUUUUCUCUUAAUUUCCAGAUUCCAUAACGUAUGAUAAACCCUAGAUGCCAUUCUAUUCUCUCUUCGUAGGUAUUCCCAAUCAAGGUUUUCUCAAUCCAUAUUUAAUUUUUCCUCCAACUUAAAAAACAAAACGCUCAUCCUUGCAUUAAUUUAUACAAUGGCUAAUCACAAUCGAAAUCGACAACAGUUCCAUUCGAACAUGCAAGUCUUCUUUCCCUAGCUUCAAAUUUAUGUCCGGUUAUUAUUCAUAGUUUCGUUCAUCCAAAAUUGCUUGAAUUUACGAUUUGGAAUCUUAUGAGAAAUUUUUGUUGUGGUUUUUGGUUUGCCCGUCCUAAUUUUAAUUUCCCAAAUUUUUUUAGCUUCAAAUUUCGUUUUAUAUCCAAUUUUUUUCCUGUUAUUAUUUUUAGUUUCAUUGAUCCAAAAUUUCUUGAAUUUACGAUUUGGAAUCGUAUGAGAAAUUUUUGUUUUCUUUUUUGGUUUGCCCUUCCUAAUUUUAAUUUGCCAAUUUUUUUAUAGAAAUUCAUUAGGUCUGCACUGUGUCUCCUGCUCCUAUGUUUGAAUUGGGUUUCUGAUGAAUUUGUUUUCCAGUUUUCGGUAUUCGGAAUAAAGAACAGACGAUAUGGCAUCUCAAAUCGAUAUCAAACCACAGCAAGUACCAUCUUCAGUUACCCAGGACAAGUUGAAGAGUUUAGGAUCCCUUGACGAAGGAAAAUCAAGCGUCGUUACUGUUCAUGUUACUGGGAAGAAUUGAAUUUUACGUCCACCAAUGACGUUACCAGUGUAGAUAUGAUUAUUGUUGACGAGCAGGUAUUGACCCCCCCUGUUUCUGUAAAUUUGCAAUAUACAGCUUCAAUAAUGUUCCACUGACGAAUUACAUACCAUCAUACCCAAAAAUCUUACGAGAAGGUGGUUUGUACACUAUUGAGAAAUUGCAAUUGACUACUGCAAAAUCCAAAUUCAGGCCAGCACAGAGUGAAAAAAGAGUUUACUUUUGGUGGAACACCUCACUCUUCGCACUUGAUGCUUAUUCUGUGUCGAUUAUUCCCCAUAAUUUCUGCUUCACCGAGUUUGAGGCACUCGAAUCUAAUCUUCAGAACAUACAUAUUACAGGCUAUCUAAAAAACGGAUGCGGAAAUGGGGAGACCAAAUACUUGCACUGCUUGGGACAUAGCAAGAUAGAGACUACCCAUAAUAGAUUGGUUUCUACUGAAAAAUAAGUUUUGACGUUUUAAACAAAAGCUAAGGAACCAAGGCACAUAAUGGAAAGGUAGCCUUGACUCUUAAUUUUUUUGGAACCUCUUGGUGAAACUUACUGAACCCAACAUCUCAUCAUUAUAAAAUGACAAAGUUCAGUUAUUAUAAGUGGCAAUCCUCAUUCACUGUAUCACUGUACUUGAAAUGUAACCACACGUGCACAAUAUCUCGACCUACCAGCAGUGCUCAAUCGUGUUCGAAUCUAUAUCUCGAUGUACCAGCAGUACUCUGCAUCUUGAAAUGGUGUCAAGAUGCAGAGUAAUUUCAUCCAGAUAUAUGGUUGGACCAGGAUCGAUAUUUCUAAUGUCGAAAGAUUAAGUUCACCGCAUUUCAGGACCUCCAUAUAGGACUAUAAUCGACUUUGACUUGAUGUUAACGAUUCCACUUUUGCCAAGAGAUGGAUAGCAGAUGCACCACAAGAAUACUGCAUAAGGAGUGCCAUUUAUGUUCGCGAUGUCACCCAUCGAAAAAAUGGAAGGUGGAGCCAAAUAAAUAGAAGAGAAGAGCCUAACGAGUGCUGAGCAUGGAAAGGAUAAAGAAGGGAAGGACUGAAAAAUUGUGGCAACCAAGACAAGGUGAACGCAAAUAAGUAAGUGACACUUUGUAAAUGGUCUAUAACUAUGUUUAUUACUAGGCAAUUUUGCUGGAAGUGUCCUCUUAACGUUGUUUUUUGUAUAUGCCAAUUAUACCUUUAUUUCCUUUUCCUCUUAUUGGAUCCAAGACUAGUUCAACUGCUCUGUUGAUUUCUUCUAUGUACCAUUGCUGAUGUUGUGCUCGGAUUGGAUUCCCUUGAACGGUUGAACAAUAUCUAGCUGAAGCUUCAAAGGACAUUAUGAAAUUAGGCUGUAGUCAUUCAAGAAACCUUCUGAAAAUCAUUUUUUUUCAAGCUGAUUUUAGCUACAGAAAAUGGGAAUUUUCACGUGAAAGAUCAAGAGUAUAAAGCUUAUGUAUACCCUUCAAGCAAAGGCACAGUUCUUGACAGAAAGUGAAUCAAGAUGGUCAGUCAAGCCAUAUUGUGCAUGUAAAGGGGUUAUGCCAACGACGCAAUAUAUCUGUUCUCUUAUGCACUUCUUGCAGAUGCCUCGACUAGAAUUGAUUUGCAAGUUUUGUUGACACAACUAUUGUUCAGUUCGUUGACAAGUUAAUCCUUUCAGGGAUAUUUGGUAUAGAAUGGUGGAUCUAUUGGAGCAUGUUUGGUCGCAUCUCAUGUUGAAUUAUUGAGCUCAUUAAUAGUAUAACGGAGGGAAGCUUUUUGGUCAAUGUACAGAUGCUAGGAAAAUAUUUCUCGAGACGAAUAUAGGUUAUGUUGCACUUCAAUCCUCCACAUUUCAGAUCGUAGCUAUGGACAAUAGAUAUGAAUUGUUCAUUGCUUUCUUAGAUCUUCAUUCAUACGAUGUAAUGAGAAACUAUUUAUUUUUCAUAAAUUUAUCAGAAUGAAAUUUCAUCUUUGGUGUG
This is a long non-coding RNA of Papaver somniferum (opium poppy), 4259 nucleotides long. RefSeq lists it as uncharacterized. The record is from RefSeq and is a predicted model, not a curated record. The transcript has 5 exons. Lineage: Eukaryota; Viridiplantae; Streptophyta; Magnoliopsida; Ranunculales; Papaveraceae.